This 253-nucleotide ribosomal RNA is filed under the name uncultured bacterium. RNAcentral's name for it is "partial 16S ribosomal RNA". It matches the Rfam family "Bacterial small subunit ribosomal RNA", at positions 524 to 776 of the family's 1533-position model. The record is from RNAcentral.
UACGUAGGGUGCAAGCGUUAUCCGGAAUUAUUGGGCGUAAAGAGCUCGUAGGCGGUUUGUCGCGUCUGCCGUGAAAGUCCGGGGCUCAACUCCGGAUCUGCGGUGGGUACGGGCAGACUAGAGUGAUGUAGGGGAGACUGGAAUUCCUGGUGUAGCGGUGAAAUGCGCAGAUAUCAGGAGGAACACCGGUGGCGAAGGCGGGUCUCUGGGCCGUUGCUGACGCUGAGGCGCGACAGCGUGGGGAGCAAACAGG